This is a long non-coding RNA of Saccostrea cuccullata (small rock oyster), 424 nucleotides long. RefSeq lists it as uncharacterized. The record is from RefSeq and is a predicted model, not a curated record. Lineage: Eukaryota; Metazoa; Mollusca; Bivalvia; Ostreida; Ostreidae. The transcript is spliced from 3 exons.
UCUACCGAACGAAAAUUAGGGACAUCGCUAUGAGAAGAAACGUUGACAUUGUCGCCUAUGGGAAAACAAUUAGUGGACUGUACCCAUAUUAGGAAGCCUAUAAGUUCAUGGUGAUUGGUACAGGAAAAACAUGAGGUCCAUGCAGAUGGUGUUUAAAACUAUUGGCCAGCAAAUGCACACCCAUUUGAAUACAUCUUGAAAAAGAACCAGCAAAAUGUGACAGUCGGCAAAAUAUAGGUUCCCGCAGACAGACGCAUUUUGCCAGAAAACGAAUCUGACAUGCCACCUCGAGAUUUUAACCAAGGAAAGACAAGUUGAUGUGCUUUGAAUUGAGGGGUCACUCACUACCGAACGAAAAUUAGGGACAUCGCUAUGAGAAGAAACGUUAACAUUGUCGCCUAUGGGAAAACAAUUAGUGGACUGU